RNAcentral lists this transfer RNA (84 nucleotides) under Candidatus Nitrosopumilus sp. RNAcentral describes it as "Nitrosopumilus sp. tRNA-Ser". It matches the Rfam family "tRNA". From Rfam's summary of the family: Transfer RNA (tRNA) molecules are approximately 80 nucleotides in length. Lineage: Archaea; Thermoproteati; Nitrososphaerota; Nitrososphaeria; Nitrosopumilales; Nitrosopumilaceae. The record is from RNAcentral.
GCCGGGGUGGCCUAGCCUGGUAGGGCGCGCGCUUGGAAAGCGCGUUCCCGCAAGGGAUCGGGAGUUCAAAUCUCCCUCCCGGCG